Molecule: ribosomal RNA, 424 nt
Filed under: Verrucomicrobiota bacterium
Lineage: Bacteria; Pseudomonadati; Verrucomicrobiota
Description: Verrucomicrobia bacterium partial 16S ribosomal RNA
Rfam family: Bacterial small subunit ribosomal RNA
Source: RNAcentral
UGAGGAAUAUUGGUCAAUGGGCGAGAGCCUGAACCAGCCAAGUAGCGUGCAGGAUGACGGCCCUAUGGGUUGUAAACUGCUUUUAUAUGGGAAUAAAGUGAGGGACGUGUCCCUUAUUGCAUGUACCAUACGAAUAAGGACCGGCUAAUUCCGUGCCAGCAGCCGCGGUAAUACGGAAGGUCCAGGCGUUAUCCGGAUUUAUUGGGUUUAAAGGGAGCGUAGGCUGUUUGUUAAGCGUGUUGUGAAAUGUAAGAGCUCAACUUUUAGAUUGCAGCGCGAACUGGCAGACUUGAGUGCGCAUAACGUAGGCGGAAUUCAUGGUGUAGCGGUGAAAUGCUUAGAUAUCAUGACGAACUCCGAUUGCGAAGGCAGCUUACGGGAGCGCAACUGACGCUAAAGCUCGAAGGUGCGGGUAUCGAACAGG